Molecule: long non-coding RNA, 568 nt
Organism: Leptopilina boulardi
Lineage: Eukaryota; Metazoa; Arthropoda; Insecta; Hymenoptera; Figitidae
Exons: 5
Source: RefSeq, a predicted model, not a curated record
CAUGAAAUUGCAUUAAAAUCGUCUGCCUAAGAAAAAUUGAAUUUUUUUGGGGACUUUUUUAUGAUUUUGGAUGGCUUUUUGGUGGAAAUAGUUGUCUUCCUCUACUUGGAUUUGGCUGUCAAUUUUUUUCUACACUUUUAGGUGUAUUUUGUACAUGAAAUUGCAUUAAAAUCGUCUGCCUAAGAAAAAUUGAAUUUUUUUGGGGACUUUUUUAUGAUUUUGGAUGGCUUUUUGGUGGAAAUAGGUGUCUUCCUCUACUUGGAUUUGGCUGUCAAUUUUUUUCUACACUUUUAGGUGUAUUUUGUGCAUGAAAUUGCAUUAAAAUCGUCUGCCUAAGAAAAAUUGAAUUUUUUUGGGGACUUUUUUAUGAUUUUGGAUGGCUUUUUGGUGGAAAUAGGUGUCUUCCUCUACUUGGAUUUGGCUGUCAAUUUUUUUCUACACUUUUAGGUGUAUUUUGUGCAUGAAAUUGCAUUAAAAUCGUCUGCCUAAGAAAAAUUAAAUUUUUUUGGGGACUUUUUUAUGAUUUUGGAUGGCUUUUUGGUGGAAAUAGGUGUCUUCCUCUACUUGG